AGCUUUGAUCUAGUUAACCAACACUUUAUUCUUCAUACUUAGAACACUCGUGAAACUGCUCAGGCCAUCAAGGGUAUGCAUAUACGAAAAGCCACGAAGUAUCUGAAAGAUGUCACUUUACAGAAACAGUGUGUACCAUUCCGACGUUACAAUGGUGGAGUUGGCAGGUGUGCGCAGGCCAAGCAAUGGGGCUGGACACAAGGUCGGUGGCCCAAAAAGAGUGCUGAAUUUUUGCUGCACAUGCUUAAAAACGCAGAGAGUAAUGCUGAACUUAAGGUACCCAAACCACUAACAUCCUGUGCAACUUGGGUGGUUGUUUAAUUAAUGUUGGCUGUUCAGAUUUAUGUCCUUGAUUUUCUUGUUUUCAGUAAUUAACUCUUAGGAUUUUUUAAAUUUCUACCUGCAGUUUCCACAGAAUGAAACUAUUUCCUUUUAUUUUUUUUGAGUCCCUUUAUGGCAAAAUUCUGUG
Molecule: long non-coding RNA, 469 nt
Filed under: Homo sapiens (human)
Lineage: Eukaryota; Metazoa; Chordata; Mammalia; Primates; Hominidae
Description: non-protein coding lnc-RPL17-2:6
Source: RNAcentral